CCCUUAGAUGUUCUGGGCCGCACACGCGCUACACUGAAGGAGGCAGAGUGUACUCCUGGAUCGAAAGAUUUGGGUAACCCGCGAAUCUCCUUCGUGCUAGGGAUUGAGGUUUGCAAUUAUCCUUCAUGAACGAGGAAUUCCCAGUAAGUGCAAGUCAUAAGCUUGCGCUGACUACGUCCCUGCCCUUUGUACACACCGCCCGUCGCUACUACCGAUUGAAUGAUUUAGUGAGGACUUCGGACUGGGACCGAUGCGGCUUUCGGGCUGCGUCGGUAUUCUGGAAAGAUGUCCAAACUGUAUCAUUUAGAGGAAGUAAAAGUCGUAACA
RNAcentral lists this ribosomal RNA (327 nucleotides) under uncultured eukaryote. RNAcentral describes it as "partial 18S ribosomal RNA". It matches the Rfam family "Eukaryotic small subunit ribosomal RNA", at positions 1470 to 1796 of the family's 1831-position model. The record is from RNAcentral.